This 395-nucleotide unclassified non-coding RNA is filed under the name soil metagenome. RNAcentral describes it as "partial contains 5.8S ribosomal RNA, internal transcribed spacer 2, and large subunit ribosomal RNA". The stretch from base 1 to 120 matches the Rfam family "5.8S ribosomal RNA", at positions 35 to 154 of the family's 154-position model. The record is from RNAcentral.
GAUGAAGAACGUAGCAAAAUGCGAUAAGUAAUGUGAAUUGCAGAAUUCAGUGAAUCAUCGAAUCUUUGAACGCAUCUUGCGCUCCUUGGUAUUCCGAGGAGCAUGCCUGUUUGAGUGUCAUUUUAACUUCUCAACCAUAUCGAAUUGUUUUUCGAGGUGGCUUGGACAUGGGGGUUUUUGCAGGCUUUAAUAAUGAAGUCGGCUCCUCUGAAAUGCAUUAGUGGUAUCUGAAGCAGAACUGCUACUAUUAGGUGUGAUAAUUAUCUAUGCCUCUUGGUAUACUGCAUGAACAGAUUGCGCUGCUUCCAACUUGUACACCCUUUGGUGUUUGACAAAUUUGACCUCAAAUCAGGUAGGACUACCCGCUGAACUUAAGCAUAUCAAUAAGCGGAGGA